CUACGGGGCGCACCAGUGGGGAAUAUUGCACAAUGGGGGAAACCCUGAUGCAGCCAUGCCGCGUGUAUGAAGAAGGCCUUCGGGUUGUAAAGUACUUUCAGCAGUGAGGAAGGGUGAUAAAUUAAUACUUUAUCAUUUUGACGUUAGCUGCAGAAGAAGCACCGGCUAACUCCGUGCCAGCAGCCGCGGUAAUACGGAGGGUGCGAGCGUUAAUCGGAAUUACUGGGCGUAAAGCGCAUGCAGGUGGUCUGUUAAGUCAGAUGUGAAAGCCCGGGGCUUAACCUCGGAAUCGCAUUUGAAACUGGCAGGCUAGAGUACUGUAGAGGGGGGUAGAAUUUCAGGUGUAGCGGUGAAAUGCGUAGAGAUCUGAAGGAAUACCGGUGGCGAAGGCGGCCCCCUGGACAGAUACUGACACUCAGAUGCGAAAGCGUGGGGAGCAAACAGGAUUAGAUACCCCAGUAGUC
RNAcentral lists this ribosomal RNA (464 nucleotides) under uncultured bacterium. RNAcentral's name for it is "partial 16S ribosomal RNA". It matches the Rfam family "Bacterial small subunit ribosomal RNA", at positions 339 to 795 of the family's 1533-position model. The record is from RNAcentral.